RNAcentral lists this long non-coding RNA (692 nucleotides) under Spirodela polyrhiza (greater duckweed). RNAcentral describes it as "long non-coding RNA (SPOL_LNC002383)". The record is from RNAcentral. Lineage: Eukaryota; Viridiplantae; Streptophyta; Magnoliopsida; Alismatales; Araceae.
UCCGACACAACAAAAAAAGAAAUCAUACGACCGUUCCCAAAAAUGGUUCUUCGCUGUUACUCGUUCAGGGCGUUCAGAGCCUCGGAGCUGCUGAUAUCGCUCUCCUGUGAGCGGGGGUUGGGAGAGAUGAGUAAAAGGAGGGUUGAGCCAGCUCAUCGAAUGUCUUCUUGAUGAAAAACUUGAACUUAUUGGGCGACCUCUAAGCUCAGCAAGGUUGAAAGAGCUGCCAAAAAAAAAGUUCUCGAAGAAAGCCUCAUUCCAGCACGUCCAGCGUCGUAUUUGGAGCAUAAGGAAGAGAAAUAGAAGCGGUGGAGCGACGAUGAAACCCAGCCGGACGAGUGAUAUCGCAUGCUAAUCAGUCCAUACUCUAUGGCAGACGAAGGAAAAAAAAAAAGGAUUAACCUGACUGAGAAUGAAGAACUUCCCCGUGCGCUGGUCGCCGGGGGAGAUUCAUCCGGGACGGAGGGGCAGACGAAAUGUAGGAAACCCGCCGACCUCAAGAUUUUCGAACCAGAGAAGGAAGAUCAAGCGAGAGGGAGACGUGAAGCUGCUUAGGUUUCCGGCUGUUCGUGGACGAAAUGCGGAAAAGAGUUAAGCCCUUGAGCGAAGGAGGAUCUCAGAUCAUACCCUGCAGAGAUUGGUCAUCGAACUGGGGGAUCUUGCCAGGAUAUCCGCGUCCGGGUAGAUCCAGC